GGGGGAUGGACUUGGUAGGGGGAGCUCACACCGUUUGCAGUUUUUAGUUUGUGAGGUUUCAUUGUAGGAAAGCUCAUGGAUGUUGUUAGAUGAGCCACUCUCACAUGAUGCCGGGGACGUAUGUGAUCGAGGGCUCUGUAAACUUCGCCGUUGACAGCUUAGUCUUGAACCUCCAUUGAAAGGUUUCUAGUGCGUCUUUUGCUUGAGAAUUGUGGCUUCUUCAAUCUGUUCUCGCUCUUCGUCUUCAGCUUGGCACUCCUGAAGAACACCUUUAUCGUUAUCACUUCGUCAAACUCCUCGUGUGUAUGUUGAGUGGAUGGACUGAGAUCAUUUUUAUGAAUUAUGCUUCCAUGUUUUUAUCUUUUUUGCCAUGGGACCAUUUUUAUAGGAUUAUAAUCUAUGAUUGUAAACCUAAACAUUUUCAUUUUUAAUGAAAUAUUUACAUUCUUAGCAAAAAAAAAAA
RNAcentral lists this long non-coding RNA (463 nucleotides) under Capsella rubella. RNAcentral's name for it is "long non-coding RNA (CRUB_LNC002473)". Lineage: Eukaryota; Viridiplantae; Streptophyta; Magnoliopsida; Brassicales; Brassicaceae. The record is from RNAcentral.